RNAcentral lists this ribosomal RNA (114 nucleotides) under Caerostris darwini. The record is from RNAcentral. Lineage: Eukaryota; Metazoa; Arthropoda; Arachnida; Araneae; Araneidae.
ACGUCCAUACCAUGCUGAAUAUAACGGUUCUCGUUAGAUCACCACCGAAGUCAAGCAUCAUUGGGCGCGGUCAGUACUUUGGUGGGUGACCAUCUGGGAACACCGCGUGCCGUU